GGAGGCCCAGAAACGACACUGCGCGGCGGGAGUCUGCGCCAUGGCGGUCGCGGGGUUUCUAGGUCGCGCUCCGGCUACAGCGUGGAGAACGGCAAUGUUAAAACUUAUGAAGCAUUUGAUACCAAAAGAUUAUACAACACGUGUAAGUUAUGAAGCAAAGCCAACAUUUACAAACCCAUUCUCCAGUAUAAGAAGUAGAAUAUUUCUAUUGCCAAGCAACUUCCUGUGUGCUGCUUCCGGAUGAAGAUGUGUAACUUUGCAUGUUUUUUAUCUUUAUAGAAAUGGCUUCACACCAUUUUUAUUUUUAUUUUGCUGCUUUUUUCAACUGUGUAUUUUGAGAUUCAUCCAUAGUGAUGUUAGAGGUUGCUCAACUGUGAAAAUAUAUCAUAUGUUCUUCCAUUCUCCUCAGUGAGCAUUUGGAUAAUUCUAGAAACACCAGGUUUGGUUGCUACACAUUCUUACCUGUUAUGGGUGCUCUCGUGCAAGGAAUGGAAUUCCUGGAACAUAUUGUAUAGGGCUGUUCAGUUUUACAGUCCGAUGCCAGUUAUAAAGGCAUUCAUUGUCCAUUCUUACUGGCAGCUCACACUUCUACCAGCAGUAUAUGAGUUCCUGUUGCUCCACAUACUUGCCAACACUUGAUAUCAUCAGAAAUUUUCAUUUUUGUGUGACUCUAGGAUGCUGAAAUAGUAUCUUACUGCAAUUUUGCUUUCCUAUUGUUAGAGGAAUUAAAAAUCUUUUAAAAUUUUGUUCGCUUUGUUCUGAAAUAUCUUUAUUUUCUUCAUGGAUUAUUUGUCUUAUUUAUAUUUUUCACAUAUAUUUGAAUACUAAGCCUUUUUUAGUUAUGUAAGUGGCACGUAGCUCAGUUUGUGGGCUAUUUUUGUCACUCGUAUGGUGUCUCUUUUUUUAAGUCAUGUAAGACAGUAGACAGAAUACAGUAAUGAAUCUGUAUGUACAAUCACUCAGCUUCAAAAGUGUCUUGAUUCAUAAU
Molecule: long non-coding RNA, 988 nt
Organism: Myotis lucifugus (little brown bat)
Lineage: Eukaryota; Metazoa; Chordata; Mammalia; Chiroptera; Vespertilionidae
Exons: 2
Source: RefSeq, a predicted model, not a curated record